CAGCCGCCGCGGUAAUACGGAGGGAGCUAGCGUUGUUCGGAAUUACUGGGCGUAAAGCGCGCGUAGGCGGUUACUCAAGUCAGAGGUGAAAGCCCGGGGCUCAACCCCGGAACUGCCUUUGAAACUAGGUGACUAGAAUCUUGGAGAGGUCAGUGGAAUUCCGAGUGUAGAGGUGAAAUUCGUAGAUAUUCGGAAGAACACCAGUCGCGAAGGCGACUGACUGGACAAGUAUUGACGCUGAGGUGCGAAAGCGUGGGGAGCAAACAGGAUUAGAUACCCGUGUAGUCCCUGUCUCUUAUAC
Molecule: ribosomal RNA, 301 nt
Filed under: uncultured bacterium
Lineage: Bacteria
Description: partial 16S ribosomal RNA
Rfam family: Bacterial small subunit ribosomal RNA
Source: RNAcentral